CGGUGGAUGCCUUGGCACUAGAAGCCGAUGAAGGACGUUACUAACGACGAUAUGCUUUGGGGAGCUGUAAGUAAGCUUUGAUCCAGAGAUUUCCGAAUGGGGAAACCCAGCAUGAGUUAUGUCAUGUUAUCGAUAUGUGAAUACAUAGCAUAUCAGAAGGCACACCCGGAGAACUGAAACAUCUUAGUAACCGGAGGAAGAGAAAGAAAAUUCGAUUCCCUUAGUAGCGGCGAGCGAAACGGGAAGAGCCCAAACCAACAAGCUUGCUUGUUGGGGUUGUAGGACACUCUAUACGGAGUUACAAAGGACGACAUUAGACGAAUCAUCUGGAAAGAUGAAUCAAAGAAGGUAAUAAUCCUGUAGUCGAAAAUGUUGUCUCUCUUGAGUGGAUCCUGAGUACGACGGAGCACGUGAAAUUCCGUCGGAAUCUGGGAGGACCAUCUCCUAAGGCUAAAUACUCUCUAGUGACCGAUAGUGAACCAGUACCGUGAGGGAAAGGUGAAAAGCACCCCGGAAGGGGAGUGAAAUAGAACCUGAAACCGUGUGCUUACAAGUAGUCAGAGCCCGUUAAUGGGUGAUGGCGUGCCUUUUGUAGAAUGAACCGGCGAGUUACGAUUUGAUGCAAGGUUAAGCAGUAAAUGUGGAGCCGUAGCGAAAGCGAGUCUGAAUAGGGCGUUUAGUAUUUGGUCGUAGACCCGAAACCAGGUGAUCUACCCUUGGUCAGGUUGAAGUUCAGGUAACACUGAAUGGAGGACCGAACCGACUUACGUUGAAAAGUGAGCGGAUGAACUGAGGGUAGCGGAGAAAUUCCAAUCGAACCUGGAGAUAGCUGGUUCUCUCCGAAAUAGCUUUAGGGCUAGCCUCAAGUGAUGAUUAUUGGAGGUAGAGCACUGUUUGGACGAGGGGCCCCUCUCGGGUUACCGAAUUCAGACAAACUCCGAAUGCCAAUUAAUUUAACUUGGGAGUCAGAACAUGGGUGAUAAGGUCCGUGUUCGAAAGGGAAACAGCCCAGACCACCAGCUAAGGUCCCAAAAUAUAUGUUAAGUGGAAAAGGAUGUGGCGUUGCCCAGACAACUAGGAUGUUGGCUUAGAAGCAGCCAUCAUUUAAAGAGUGCGUAAUAGCUCACUAGUCGAGUGACACUGCGCCGAAAAUGUACCGGGGCUAAACAUAUUACCGAAGCUGUGGAUUGUCCUUUGGACAAUGGUAGGAGAGCGUUCUAAGGGCGUUGAAGCAUGAUCGUAAGGACAUGUGGAGCGCUUAGAAGUGAGAAUGCCGGUGUGAGUAGCGAAAGACGGGUGAGAAUCCCGUCCACCGAUUGACUAAGGUUUCCAGAGGAAGGCUCGUCCGCUCUGGGUUAGUCGGGUCCUAAGCUGAGGCCGACAGGCGUAGGCGAUGGAUAACAGGUUGAUAUUCCUGUACCACCUAUAAUCGUUUUAAUCGAUGGGGGGACGCAGUAGGAUAGGCGAAGCGUGCGAUUGGAUUGCACGUCUAAGCAGUAAGGCUGAGUAUUAGGCAAAUCCGGUACUCGUUAAGGCUGAGCUGUGAUGGGGAGAAGACAUUGUGUCUUCGAGUCGUUGAUUUCACACUGCCGAGAAAAGCCUCUAGAUAGAAAAUAGGUGCCCGUACCGCAAACCGACACAGGUAGUCAAGAUGAGAAUUCUAAGGUGAGCGAGCGAACUCUCGUUAAGGAACUCGGCAAAAUGACCCCGUAACUUCGGGAGAAGGGGUGCUCUUUAGGGUUAACGCCCAGAAGAGCCGCAGUGAAUAGGCCCAAGCGACUGUUUAUCAAAAACACAGGUCUCUGCUAAACCGUAAGGUGAUGUAUAGGGGCUGACGCCUGCCCGGUGCUGGAAGGUUAAGAGGAGUGGUUAGCUUCUGCGAAGCUACGAAUCGAAGCCCCAGUAAACGGCGGCCGUAACUAUAACGGUCCUAAGGUAGCGAAAUUCCUUGUCGGGUAAGUUCCGACCCGCACGAAAGGCGUAACGAUUUGGGCACUGUCUCAACGAGAGACUCGGUGAAAUCAUAGUACCUGUGAAGAUGCAGGUUACCCGCGACAGGACGGAAAGACCCCGUGGAGCUUUACUGUAGCCUGAUAUUGAAAUUCGGCACAGCUUGUACAGGAUAGGUAGGAGCCUUUGAAACGUGAGCGCUAGCUUACGUGGAGGCGCUGGUGGGAUACUACCCUAGCUGUGUUGGCUUUCUAACCCGCACCACUUAUCGUGGUGGGAGACAGUGUCAGGCGGGCAGUUUGACUGGGGCGGUCGCCUCCUAAAAGGUAACGGAGGCGCUCAAAGGUUCCCUCAGAAUGGUUGGAAAUCAUUCAUAGAGUGUAAAGGCAUAAGGGAGCUUGACUGCGAGACCUACAAGUCGAGCAGGGUCGAAAGACGGACUUAGUGAUCCGGUGGUUCCGCAUGGAAGGGCCAUCGCUCAACGGAUAAAAGCUACCCCGGGGAUAACAGGCUUAUCUCCCCCAAGAGUUCACAUCGACGGGGAGGUUUGGCACCUCGAUGUCGGCUCAUCGCAUCCUGGGGCUGUAGUCGGUCCCAAGGGUUGGGCUGUUCGCCCAUUAAAGCGGUACGCGAGCUGGGUUCAGAACGUCGUGAGACAGUUCGGUCCCUAUCCGUCGUGGGCGUAGGAAAUUUGAGAGGAGCUGUCCUUAGUACGAGAGGACCGGGAUGGACAUACCUCUGGUGUACCAGUUGUCGUGCCAACGGCAUAGCUGGGUAGCUAUGUGUGGACGGGAUAAGUGCUGAAAGCAUCUAAGCAUGAAGCCCCCCUCAAGAUGAGAUUUCCCAACUUCGGUUAUAAGAUCCCUCAAAGAUGAUGAGGUUAAUAGGUUCGAGGUGGAAGCAUGGUGACAUGUGGAGCUGACGAAUACUAA
RNAcentral lists this ribosomal RNA (2882 nucleotides) under Staphylococcus aureus. RNAcentral describes it as "partial 23S ribosomal RNA". It matches the Rfam family "Bacterial large subunit ribosomal RNA". The record is from RNAcentral. Lineage: Bacteria; Bacillati; Bacillota; Bacilli; Caryophanales; Staphylococcaceae.